This 237-nucleotide ribosomal RNA is filed under the name uncultured bacterium. RNAcentral describes it as "partial 16S ribosomal RNA". It matches the Rfam family "Bacterial small subunit ribosomal RNA", at positions 100 to 334 of the family's 1533-position model. The record is from RNAcentral.
CCGGCACGGGUGAGUAACACGUAUCCAACCUGCCGUCUACUCUUGGACAGCCUUCUGAAAGGAAGAUUAAUACAAGAUGGCAUCAUGAGUCCGCAUGUUCACAUGAUUAAAGGUAUUCCGGUAGACGAUGGGGAUGCGUUCCAUUAGAUAGUAGGCGGGGUAACGGCCCACCUAGUCUUCGAUGGAUAGGGGUUCUGAGAGGGAGGUCCCCCACAUUGGAACUGAGACACGGUCCAA